GGGGUUCAGUCUGAUCCCUCUCAUUUAGGGUUGAGAGGCUUGGAGAGAAAGAGUGAGAAGACGAGAGAAUGGAGGCGGCGAAGGUGAGAAGACGGUGCCGAGGAGCAAAUCGCGGUUCCUCUCCCGUUUUCCUCCGACAGUGGCGGAGGCGGUUUGCGGUGACUGAUAAGGGGUAGGGUCGUCCUCCCUUCAAUAAGCCACCAUCCACGGUGGUGGCUCCUCUUCUCCAAUCGGUUUUCUUCUACCUCGGUUUAUGCUUCGAAAGGUGGAAGAGGAUGACCUUUGUUAGUGGUUCCCCACCACCACAAACAGUUGUCUAUGCAAACUUUUGUACUAACUGUGGGGUUGUGUAGGAUUCCUUGUGAAAGUUUGGACAUUAGCACAAACAUAGAGGAUGCUACUGAAUCAAAAAAGAUAGUGCUUUAUUCAAAACCCAAGUAAGAGCAAAGAAUAUGAGUAUGCACAAGUUGGAUUUGCUUUGAGUUGUUUGGUGCGGCGAAAGUAGUGCGGAUAUCUGUUUUAUUGUAUGUGUGGUGUUGUUGUAUCAAGCUAGUUCGCAGUAUAUCUCCUUGCUAAAUGCCAACCCAAUGCCAUAAUUUCCUUUCUACUUUAUCUAAUUACACCGUGUUUAUCAGCAUUAUGGAUUACUAUAAGGAAAUGCUUCAAUUGCUAUCGUAAUAUGAUUAUUAUUGCAGAGAAGUUAUGAACGUGAAUCUUUUAGUUAUGCAGCCUUGUUGUUGAAGCCAAUUUGCCUUAUGGUGAUUUAUAAACAGUAUGAAAUAGGAUUAAUAGUCAUGGUACUUGCUUUUUUGAAUGCCAUUUGAAUAAACUCAUGA
Molecule: non-coding RNA, 836 nt
Organism: Lupinus albus (white lupine)
Lineage: Eukaryota; Viridiplantae; Streptophyta; Magnoliopsida; Fabales; Fabaceae
Source: the annotation of a GenBank genome assembly